UGUCUGGCGUGGGGCAAACACUCAGCAUGUGUCAAGUAGCAGGAGUGGCAGCCCUGCUACCAUUAGGGUUGUUACUGGUUGUGGCUCCAUCACACCUUACAGUCCUGGACACGGAGCCUUGAUGGGUCACACCCGCUAGCUGGUAGCAGAUCCAUGGUGACACCAGACCCUGUGACCAUAUUCUAGAGCCAUGCUUGUGAUGCUCUUUGGCUUUCCUUCUGAAAUGUUUUGGGAGAACGUAGUGUGACAGCCCCCCUCCACCAUGGCCCCCAGUGAGUCCUGCGGCCAGAUAUUCACAGCCGUGUGUAGGGUCCCCUUCCGCCUCGGAUGAGAGCUGGUCUCUGUGACCAGUGGAAUACAGCGGAAUGGAUGCUGUGUUGUUUUUGAAAUUAGGAAAGGCACUGGCUUCCGGUUUGGUCCUUUCCUUCUUGGGGAGAGGCCCCCUGUCUUCUCCAAGCAGCUGUAGGGAGAGGCCAUGGGGUGGGGGUGGAAGCCUCUGAAACAGCCAGCGAGCACCUGAGGUCUGCUGGCAGUCUCGGGCGUGAGCUUGGGAGCCAGUCCUCCAGCCCCCGUCCAUCCUUGAACUGACCGUGGUCCCUGCCGACAGCUUGACGGCAACCUCGUGAGAUGCCCUGAGCCCCAGACAACCAGCUCAGCCAUCUCCGCAAUCCUGAGCCCCAAGACUGUGCAGGAAUGUUUGUGCUCUAAGCAGCUAAGGUACGAUGCAGCAGGGGCGACACACACACGUGGCCGUGGUCUCAGUCUUUCUGUCUGUAAUGACGUAGCUUUAACCUCUGGUUCCACCGCCGUUUCCUAUUUUGGCAUCGAGGAGCUAAGAUGGGAAGAAUUGCUUUCGGUGCUUGCCCGCGCUCACACAGAUUGUAAGCAUCUCGAAGGGAGAAUCUUCUCAGGACUCCCCACAGUGCCUGCGACGUGGUGUGUGUGUGUGGGGGGGGUGUCUGUAAAUUAUGCGUGGAGUUAAUGAAUACAUACAUUUUACCCAAGUAAAGACAAAAAGGCAUUCAAGUUAACGUAUCUGCUUAUUUAAGUCUGUUUUGUAAAUAUGAGAGGAAUGUUUCAUACUCAGAUCUGGGCGGUUAUCUGAGUUUUCCUCUUCUUUGGAUCCAUGAUACAUUUUAAUAAUACUUUCUUUUUCCCGAUUUAACCUUGACUUAUUAUCAUGACUUCUUAUCGAGAUUUCUGCUUGAUAAUCGCAGCGGUUUCUUUGAAGUAGCGUUAGUCAGGUGGGAAGGAGCUGCUGUAAAUAGCAAGGAGAGAGUGGGUUCUAUCCCUGGCCUCGCUCAGUGGGUUAAGGCUCUGGUGUUGCCCUGAGGUGUGGGGUAGGUCACAGAUGCGGCUUGGACCAGCAUUGCUGUGGCUGUGGUCUAGACCAGCAGCUGUAGCUCCGAUUUGACCCCUAGUCUGGGAACCUCCAUAUGCUGCAGGUGUGGCCCUAAAAAGCAAAACCAAUCAAUCAAUCCCUCUUUUAAAAAAAGAAUUUAGAUGUGUGAUGUUUAUAGUUUACAGACGAGGUGAUGGUUUCCUCACGUCGGUCAGAGAUGACUGGAUAGAUAUCUUUUAUUUGGCGUCUGUAAUAUUUUGACAUUGAAUUUUUAUACCUUAAGACCAGGUAUCCAUAGGGGUGGAGUUUUCUACUUUUAUCCUACACGUUAAGCUCUGAUUAAGUUUAAUAAGGUUGGAAAAGACUCUCAGCCACCUCUGUCACCCCAACUGUAUCCCACCCACUUCAAUUAACCUGUAAGCGUCUGGGGGAAGAAACAAAACAAAACACUCGCAAUCGGAAAUCCACAGUGCAAGGUGGAGAAUGUGUUCCUCUUUGAUUCCUUCAAGGCCGAAGGCAAAGCAUCUAGAAGGUUCAGGGCUCCAGUCUUUGUCAUAGUAUCUUCCUCUCUUGUCUGCAGCCCGCCAGUCGUCUGGCACUGAAUGAACCAGCAGUAAUUUACUGCAUGCCGCCUGCAGGUCCGGCCCCGUCCUAGGCAUCAGACAUGCACAGUAAGCUAGAUUUGUGCGAGCUGCACAGUUUGCCUGUAAGCAGAUCAUGCUUAGGGAUGGUGGCCUCGGGGUGCUCACAAGCCUGUGUUUUGGGGGAGAAAGGCCUGGGGCAAAUCCUCAGGGACAUUGGGGACAAAAGGGGAAUGCUAAAGUGCUUGAGGGAGUGCAGGGGAGAGGGUGUUUCUCCUCAAGGCCUUGCAGCAAUGGUGACAUUUAGGUUGGGCCCUACAAGGCGAGGAGGAUUUUUAGGGGUUGGAAGAGGACAGGAUCGUCCAGGCAGUCUCAGUCAUAGAAAGACAACUGCAAACCAGCUUAAAUUAUAAAAGGGGAUAGGAGUUCCCGUCGUGGCACAGUGGUUAACGAAUCUGACUAGGAACCAUGAGGUUGCAGGUUCGAUCCCUGGCCUCACUCAGUGGGUUGAGGAUCAGGUGUUGCCCUGAGCGGUGGUGUAGGUCACAGACACAGCUUGGAUCUGGCGUUGCUGUGGCUGUGGCGUAGGCUGGCAGCUGCAGCUCCAAUGAGACCCCUCGCCUGGGAACCUCCAUAUGCCUUGGGUGUAGCCCUAAAAAGAUAAAAGACAAAAAAA
Molecule: long non-coding RNA, 2599 nt
Filed under: Sus scrofa (pig)
Lineage: Eukaryota; Metazoa; Chordata; Mammalia; Artiodactyla; Suidae
Description: lncRNA (ENSSSCG00060017668.1)
Source: RNAcentral